UGACUCCGUAGGGUUGACUCCGUGGGGUUGACUCCGUAGGGUUGACUCCGUGGGGUUGACUCCGUAGGGUUGACUCCGUGGGGUUGCCUCCGUGGGGGUUGACUCCGUGGCUAUAAAUCGUGAUUUAACAUUAUAACAGGCAAACAAACAGCAAAAAGAAUUGGUCAAUGGUCAUUUGUCAUUGGUCAUUGGUCAUUGGUCAUUUGUCAUUGGUCAUUGGUCAUUGGUCAUUGGUCAUUGGUCAUUGGUCAUUGGUCAAUGGUCAUUGGUCAUUGGUCAUUGGUCAUUGGUCAUUGGUCAUUGGUCAUUGGUCAAUGGUCAUUGGUCAUUGGUCAUUGGUCAUUGGUCAAUUGGUCAUUGGUCAAUCUAAAGCGCUUGAAUCCUUCUUCUCUCUGUGGGAGAGCUGAUGUUAUAAAGGUCACCUUCUAUGUAUGUAAAGCUAUUGCAAAGGGUUUCGCUGUUUGUAGAAGUAUUUAGCCAAAAGCUGAGAAUUCAGGUUUCAAAGGUCCUACAUUUAUAGUCAUAAUCACACAAGUUUUAGAUUGAAGAGGUUUAUUUAAUAUAAGCGGUGUUUGAUGCACUUUAGAGUAAGAGAGGAAAAUGAUUUUAAAAUGAUUUAAAACCCUUUAAAAAAUCAUCAAACAUACAUUGAGGUGUGGAGGAACACACCGAGUACAAGUUGUUUUCUGCCCACUGAUUCUACAUUCUUCUAUGUACUCUGACUGGGAACCACUGACUGGGAACCACUGACUGGGAACCACUGACUGGGAGUCAUGGUGACUCCAUGUGUUUCUGGCACUUGUAUGUAAAGUGUGAAUGAAUAGACCUCCGUUCCUCUGGAAUCCUUUGGUUGUAUCUCAAAUGGCACCCUAUUCCCUAUAUGAUGGCACCCUAUUCCCUAUAUGAUGGCACCCUAUUCCCUAUAUGAUGGCACCCUAUUCCCUAUAUGAUGGCACCCUAUUCCCUAUAUGAUGGCACCCUAUUC
This is a long non-coding RNA of Oncorhynchus tshawytscha (Chinook salmon), 985 nucleotides long. The record is from Ensembl. Lineage: Eukaryota; Metazoa; Chordata; Actinopteri; Salmoniformes; Salmonidae.